RNAcentral lists this ribosomal RNA (440 nucleotides) under uncultured bacterium. RNAcentral describes it as "partial 16S ribosomal RNA". It matches the Rfam family "Bacterial small subunit ribosomal RNA", at positions 338 to 795 of the family's 1533-position model. The record is from RNAcentral.
CCUACGGGAGGCAGCAGUGGGGAAUAUUGCACAAUGGGGGAAACCCUGAUGCAGCGAUGCCGCGUGGAGGAAGAAGGUUCUCGGAUUGUAAACUCCUUUUAUUAGGGACGAUAAUGACGGUAUCUGAAGAAAAUGCCCCGGCCAACUACGUGACAGCAGCCGCGGCAAUACGCAGGGAGCGAGCGUUGUCCGGAAUUACUGGGUGUAAAGGGAGCGUAGGCGGGUUGGCAAGUCAGUUGUGAAAGCUUAGGGCUCAACUUUCAGACUGCAUUUGAUACUGGUGUUCUUGAGUGCAGUAGAGGUAGGCGGAAUUCCUGGUGUAGCGGUGAAAUGCGUAGAUAUUAGGAAGAACAUCGAUGGCGAAGGCGGCUUGCUGGACUUUAACUGACGCUGAGGCUCGAAAGCGUGGGGAGCAAACAGGAUUAGAUACCCCGGUAGUC